RNAcentral lists this ribosomal RNA (467 nucleotides) under uncultured bacterium. RNAcentral describes it as "partial 16S ribosomal RNA". It matches the Rfam family "Bacterial small subunit ribosomal RNA", at positions 28 to 523 of the family's 1533-position model. The record is from RNAcentral.
GACGAACGCUGGCGGCGUGCUUAACACAUGCAAGUCGAGCGAGAAACUUCGGUUUCUAGCGGCGGACGGGUGAGUAACACGUGGGCAACCUGCCUCACAAUGGGGGAUAGCCUUCCGAAAGGAAGAUUAACACCGCAUAACACAGAGGAAACGCAUGUUUCUUUUGCCAAAGAAUUUCGUUGUGAGAUGGGCCCGCGGCGCAUUAGCUUGUUGGUGAGGUAACGGCUCACCAAGGCGACGAUGCGUAGCCGACCUGAGAGGGUGAUCGGCCACAUUGGAACUGAGACACGGUCCAGACUCCUACGGGAGGCAGCAGUGGGGAAUAUUGCACAAUGGAGGAAACUCUGAUGCAGCAACGCCGCGUGAGUGAUGAAGGUCUUCGGAUUGUAAAGCUCUGUCUUCUGGGACGAUAAUGACGGUACCAGAGGAGGAAGCCACGGCUAACUACGUGCCAGCAGCCGCAGUAA